RNAcentral lists this ribosomal RNA (524 nucleotides) under uncultured bacterium. Its description in RNAcentral is "bacterial SSU rRNA". It matches the Rfam family "Bacterial small subunit ribosomal RNA", at positions 96 to 616 of the family's 1533-position model. The record is from RNAcentral.
CGGCGGACGGGUGAGUAAUGCCUAGGAAUCUGCCUGGUAGUGGGGGAUAACGUUCGGAAACGGACGCUAAUACCGCAUACGUCCUACGGGAGAAAGCAGGGGACCUUCGGGCCUUGCGCUAUCAGAUGAGCCUAGGUCGGAUUAUCUAGUUGGUGGGGUAAUGGCUCACCAAGGCGACGAUCCGUAACUGGUCUGAGAGGAUGAUCAGUCACACUGGAACUGAGACACGGUCCAGACUCCUACGGGAGGCAGCAGUGGGGAAUAUUGGACAAUGGGCGAAAGCCUGAUCCAGCCAUGCCGCGUGUGUGAAGAAGGUCUUCGGAUUGUAAAGCACUUUAAGUUGGGAGGAAGGGUUGUAGAUUAAUACUCUGCAAUUUUGACGUUACCGACAGAAUAAGCACCGGCUAACUCUGUGCCAGCAGCCGCGGUAAUACAGAGGGUGCAAGCGUUAAUCGGAAUUACUGGGCGUAAAGCGCGCGUAUGUGGUUUGUUAAGUUGGAUGUGAAAUCCCCGGGCUCAACCUG